RNAcentral lists this transfer RNA (72 nucleotides) under Amborella trichopoda. It matches the Rfam family "tRNA". From Rfam's summary of the family: Transfer RNA (tRNA) molecules are approximately 80 nucleotides in length. Their secondary structure includes four short double-helical elements and three loops (D, anti-codon, and T loops). Lineage: Eukaryota; Viridiplantae; Streptophyta; Magnoliopsida; Amborellales; Amborellaceae. The record is from Rfam by way of RNAcentral.
AGGGAUAUAACUCAGUGGUAGUGUGUCACCUUCACAUGGACGAAGUCAUCAGUUCGAGCAUGAUUAUCCCUA